AAAAAAGAAUAAUUACAUCAGAACCAGAGAAGACCUGGUGCUUUCUACUGGCUUUUAGAUUUAUGACUAUCACAAAAUUCUUAGGAUUCACCUUUCUGUUUUAAAGGUUGAUAGACUGGAUGCAGCUAUGGUAAUCUGCCUCAGGAAAGUGCCGGACUGUUGUUUGCAAGCUUGUUAAGUGAGCAAAACUUGGGAAGAUUUCAAGACUGGAAAGUAUCCAGAAAUAAAGGCAUUCAGAAAUGGAGGCACACAUAGAUGAAGGCAAAGGACAUUCCUAUGAAGGCAGGUCUGACAGCCCUGCCAUUUCCUAACUUCUGCUGUGUGGGCCAUCUACCUACCUUUGGGAACCUCCAAUCAAUACUCACAGAGUUGGUCUCAUCCUGGGAACUCUCUUGCCUCUCCCCAUGGUUCAUUCUCCAAGUCUGAGUUAUUUGGUCAAAAAAAACCCCAAAUGCUUCAGAAAACUCUCGCAAACUUGUCAUAGCUUUUGAUGUUCCAGGCCACAGAAGAGCCCAGACAGAGCCUCUGCUGCAUCUCUACUAAAAAUACAAAAAAUCUCUCACAGAGUCUUGCUGUGUCGCCCAGGCUGGAGUGCAGUGUCAUGAUCUCGGCUCACUACAACCUCUGCCUCCCAGGUUCAAGUGAUUCUCCUGCCUCAGCCUCCCAAGUAGCUGGGACUACAGGCGCUCGCCACGGAGCCUGGCUAAUUUUUUGUAAUUUUAGUAGAGACAGGGUUUCACCAUUUUGGCCAGACUGGUCUCGAACUCCUGACCUCAUGAUCUGCCCACCUUGA
RNAcentral lists this long non-coding RNA (793 nucleotides) under Rhinopithecus bieti (black snub-nosed monkey). Its description in RNAcentral is "lncRNA (ENSRBIG00000045676.1)". Lineage: Eukaryota; Metazoa; Chordata; Mammalia; Primates; Cercopithecidae. The record is from RNAcentral.